RNAcentral lists this ribosomal RNA (503 nucleotides) under uncultured bacterium. RNAcentral describes it as "partial 16S ribosomal RNA". It matches the Rfam family "Bacterial small subunit ribosomal RNA", at positions 29 to 507 of the family's 1533-position model. The record is from RNAcentral.
AACGAACGCUGGCGGCGUGCCUAACACAUGCAAGUCGAACGAGAAAGGGGCUUCGGCUCCGAGUAAAGUGGCGCACGGGUGAGUAACACGUGGGUAACCUGCCUCUAAGAUUGGGAUAACUCGUCGAAAGAUGAGCUAAUACCGAAUAAGACCACAGUUCCCGCGGGAACAGGGGUCAAAGGUAGCCUCUGCUUGCAAGCUAUCACUUAGAGAUGGGCCUGCGCACCAUUAGCUAGUUGGUAGGGUAACGGCCUACCAAGGCAAAGAUGGUUAGCUGGUCUGAGAGGGUGAUCAGCCACACUGGAACUGAGACACGGUCCAGACUCCUACGGGGGGCAGCAGUGGGGAAUAUUGCGCAAUGGGCGAAAGCUUGACGCAGCAACGCCGCGGGAGUGAUGAAGGCCUUCGGGUCGUAAAGCUCUGUCGGGAGGAACGAAUGCUCCUGAGGUUAACAGCCUCGGGAGGUGACGGUACCUUCAAAGGAAGCACCGGCUAACUCUGUG